GACGAACGCUGGCGGCGUGCUUAACACAUGCAAGUCGAACGGUAAGGCCCUUUCGGGGGUACACGAGUGGCGAACGGGUGAGUAACACGUGGGUAAUCUGCCCUGCACUUCGGGAUAAGCCUGGGAAACCGGGUCUAAUACCGGAUAUGAGUCCCGGCCGCAUGGUCUGGGGCUGGAAAGUUUUUCGGUGCAGGAUGAGCCCGCGGCCUAUCAGCUUGUUGGUGGGGUAAUGGCCUACCAAGGCGACGACGGGUAGCCGGCCUGAGAGGGUGAUCGGCCACGCUGGGACUGAGACACGGCCCAGACUCCUACGGGAGGCAGCAGUGGGGAAUAUUGCACAAUGGGCGGAAGCCUGAUGCGGCGACGCCGCGUGGGGGAUGACGGUCUUCGGAUUGUAAACCCCUUUCAGUAGGGACGAAGCGCAAGUGACGGUACCUGCAGAAGAAGCACCGGCCAACUACGUGCCAGCCGCCGCUGUAA
This 480-nucleotide ribosomal RNA is filed under the name uncultured bacterium. RNAcentral's name for it is "partial 16S ribosomal RNA". It matches the Rfam family "Bacterial small subunit ribosomal RNA", at positions 28 to 523 of the family's 1533-position model. The record is from RNAcentral.